This 253-nucleotide unclassified non-coding RNA is filed under the name uncultured Parcubacteria group bacterium. Its description in RNAcentral is "contains 16S-23S intergenic spacer region". It matches the Rfam family "Bacterial small subunit ribosomal RNA", at positions 524 to 776 of the family's 1533-position model. The record is from RNAcentral.
UACAGAGGCCCCAAGCGUUAUCCGGAAUCACUGGGCGCGAAGGGUGUCAAGGCGGCCAUGUUAGUCGCCCGUAAAAUCCGUGGGCUCAACCUACGGCGCGCGGGCGAAACGGCAUGGCUAGAGGGUGGGAGAGGUGCGUGGAACUCACGGUGUAGGGGUGAAAUCCGUUGAUAUCGUGGGGAACACCAAAGGCGUAGGCAGCGCACUGGCCCAUUCCUGACGCUCACACACGAAAGCCAGGGUAGCGAACGGG